Molecule: ribosomal RNA, 253 nt
Filed under: uncultured bacterium
Lineage: Bacteria
Also listed under: 1 other name
Description: partial 16S ribosomal RNA
Rfam family: Bacterial small subunit ribosomal RNA
Source: RNAcentral
UACAGAGGUCUCAAGCGUUGUUCGGAUUCAUUGGGCGUAAAGGGUGCGUAGGUGGCGGGGUAAGUCAGGUGUGAAAUCUCGGAGCUCAACUCCGAAACUGCACUUGAUACUGCCUUGCUCGAGUACUGGAGAGGAGAUUGGAAUUUACGGUGUAGCAGUGAAAUGCGUAGAUAUCGUAAGGAAGACCAGUGGCGAAGGCGAAUCUCUGGACAGUUACUGACACUGAGGCACGAAGGCCAGGGGAGCAAACAGG